CUUCCGUAGGGGUAACCUGCGGAGGGAUCAUUACACAACAAAAAGUAUCUAGGGUGUGAGCCCUCUGCUCGCAACGAGGCCGUCCGCCCCAAGACUAUUUAUUCACCCAUGUCUUUUGCGCACUUGUUGUUUCCUGGGCGAGUUCGCUCGCCACCAGGACCACAACCAUAAACCUUUUUUUAUGCAGUUGCAAUCAGCGUCAGUAUAACAAAUGUAAAUCAUAUUAAAACUUUCAACAACGGAUCUCUUGGUUCUGGCAUCGAUGAAGAACGCAGCGAAAUGCGAUACGUAGUGUGAAUUGCAGAAUUCAGUGAAUCAUCGAAUCUUUGAACGCACAUUGCGCCCUUUGGUAUUCCAAAGGGCAUGCCUGUUCGAGCGUCAUUUGUACCCUCAAGCUUUGCUUGGUGUUGGGCGUCUUUUUGUCUCUCGCCCUUGCCGGAGAAGACUCGCCUUAAAACGAUUGGCAGCCGACCUACUGGUUUUCGCAGCGCAGCACAAAUUUGCGCCUUCCAAUCAGCAAAAGAGGACGGCAAUCCAGCAAGACUCCUUCUCACGUUUGACCUCGGAUAACAGGUAGGGAUACCCGCUGAACUUAAGCAUAUCAAUAAGCGGAGGAA
RNAcentral lists this ribosomal RNA (617 nucleotides) under Bipolaris sp. BAB-4652. Its description in RNAcentral is "eukaryotic LSU rRNA". The stretch from base 228 to 381 matches the Rfam family "5.8S ribosomal RNA". Lineage: Eukaryota; Fungi; Ascomycota; Dothideomycetes; Pleosporales; Pleosporaceae. The record is from RNAcentral.